GCGCGAAAACUUUACAAUGCUGGCAACAGCGAUAAGGGAACCUCGAGUGCCAGGUUACAAAUCUGGCUGUCGAGAUGCCUAAAAAGCAUUUCAUAGCAAGGGCCGGGCAAGACCGGUGCCAGCCGCCGCGGUAACACCGGCGGCUCGAGUGGUAACCGUUAUUAUUGGGUCUAAAGGGUCUGUAGCCGGCCGGAUAAGUCUCUUGAGAAAUCUGGCAGCUUAACUGUCAGGCUUUCAGGAGAUACUGUCUGGCUCGAGGCCGGGAGAGGUGAGAGGUACUUCAGGGGUAGGGUGAAAUCGUUGUAAUCCGUUGAAGGACCACCAGUGGCGAAGGCGUCUCACCAGAACGGACCGUGACGGCAAGGGACGAAACGCUAGGGGCACGAACCGGAUUAGAUAC
RNAcentral lists this ribosomal RNA (400 nucleotides) under uncultured bacterium. RNAcentral's name for it is "bacterial SSU rRNA". It matches the Rfam family "Archaeal small subunit ribosomal RNA", at positions 339 to 736 of the family's 1478-position model. The record is from RNAcentral.